GAAGGUUUUUCAUCCAGCAAGAUGAUGUUGCAGUAGAAGUCAGUCCUGGCCUGACAUGAUCUCUGCUGUGCAAGACAACAAAAGAUCUUUUACAAGAGAGGAACAGAACAGAUGUGCUGCUCAGUCCAAACUAAGUGGUGAUACUGAGAUGUCAAACCUGUUAGAAUUAACCCCUGUGGAGCCUGGCAGGCACCUUUGGAGACAUGCUUCCCUACAGAAGUGGAGUUGCAGCGUGUUUCUGAGGCAUCUGAUGCUGUUGAGUGGCUCCCUUGAGUGAGAUUGAUUUUGGGAAGAACAGCUGGAGGUUGGAGCAGGCAGAGCACAGGCACAGCUGCUACAGCAGUACAGAAGUGAAUAACAACCCAGAGGAGAAGCCUGCUGUUUGCACACAGGGCUGGGAGCCCUUCACAACUGGGAACUGCACAGCAAGGGUAAGGACUGGGUAUAGUGUGUGAACUCUACAGAAAAUGGCAUUUUCCUGGAUAAUUUACAAACAAGCUGAUAUUCUUUGGGAUAGCUGGGAAUCUUGGACUUCACUGGAAGGGUUUGGAAGCCCUCUCAGAGAAAGGUCUUGGGGCUGGACUCUCUGGACCCAGGGCUUCAGACAAUGUUGUUGACAGUAUUUCAUUCUAAAUUAAAAAACCCAAAAAACAAACAGCUUUAGAUGUUGCAGUUUUAUUUUCAGCUGUAGUAAGUGCAUUUUACCACAGUAGCAGAGCAGUCAGAUGUUUGAUGCUAACCAGGACAUGAUAUUGGCUUUAUGAACUAGUAGUUUCAGUAUUCAAUGAGAUAUUAAUGACCUCUCCAGCAGAAUUACCCACUCAGCAAAGCAGAUGACUGAUAGUGACAGGGGCCACCAGGGCUGGAGAGCUGACAAGCUCAUCCUAUGGCCCUGGAUGGGGACUGAGGAAGAGAUUUGGUUCCCAGCUGUGCUCCCAGGACAAUGUGAUUUCAGGGAGGUUGGUUUGCAUUAUUUUGUCAUAAAGUGCCUGUCUGUGUAAGGUGGGUUAAUGCAGCAG
RNAcentral lists this long non-coding RNA (1019 nucleotides) under Parus major (Great Tit). RNAcentral's name for it is "lncRNA (ENSPMJG00000016222.1)". The record is from RNAcentral. Lineage: Eukaryota; Metazoa; Chordata; Aves; Passeriformes; Paridae.